Molecule: long non-coding RNA, 2820 nt
Filed under: Lytechinus variegatus (green sea urchin)
Lineage: Eukaryota; Metazoa; Echinodermata; Echinoidea; Temnopleuroida; Toxopneustidae
Description: uncharacterized LOC121408259
Source: RNAcentral
AUUCACGAAAAACCUAGCUCCUGGUUUUUGGUGGUUUAAACCCCCUCCUGGUUUAAACCCCGAGCUGGGUUUUUCAUUUGCGUUUCACAAAAGAGGUUUAAACCCCGAGGGGGUUUAAAUGCGUCAUAAAACGUCAUGAAACGUCAUAUUUUUUAGUCUGCUCUUAGAUGUGGUUUAAACCAUGGUUUAAUUUUAUGAGCAUGCGCACUUGAGGAGUUUGUGAAAAAUCCGUGAAGCAAAGAAAAUUUUUCUUGCGGUCCUGGACCUGACAAGUGGUCUUCUUGAUUAGAAAUUCAAUUACAUCGGCAUCAGAGGUACCAUACAGUGUAGGUCUCUAUGGAUUAUCUCCAUCUUCUUCACAGCUUUAAAUUACUAAGAGCUACCUUUCCCAAGACAUUGUGGGCUACAUGAUGCUAAAAAUCCAUCGAAAUCGUACAAGGAUGGGCCAUCUCGAGAUCAGUAUCGACUGUCAAAAGAAACCGUCACCAAUAUGCUGGAAGCCGAAAUGAAGAGGGACACACAGCUCAGAGGAUAGAUCAACUUCCUGUUUAUUUGCAGGUGUUGACAACUCUCCAUUUUUAUGCAGUGGGAUCAUUUUAAAAGAUGCAUGGUGGUGAGGCAGCAAUAUAGCAGUCAUCAAUGUGUCAGAAGCUAAAGCAAGAAGGAAGAGGCAAUACAUGAAGAUUCCUACAAGAGAAGAAGUUGAAGCAACUCGGAGACAGUUCUAUCUAACUGUUAGAUUUCCAGGAGUGAAAGGUGCAAUUGAUGGGACACAUGUCUACAUCAAGAGCCGGGGGGGGGGGGGGGAUUGGGCCAUAUGCUUCUUAUAUACCCCUUCCAACUUCAUGUGGAGAGGAAUGCCUAUAACAAUGGCAAAAGCAUUAAGAACAUAGAAACACAGAGUUCAUUCAAAUUUAUGAAGAAUACUUUACUUCUUUAUUUGUUAAUAAAUUGAUUAUUAUAACCCUGUGAUUCCUGCAGCUUAGCUUCAGCAACCUCUCUUUCUUUAUUCAAAACGUCCAUUCGUAGUUUGUGCUCCUUCAAGCUCAUAUCGUGUCUUUCAAUCUCAUUUCAUGCUUUUCAAUCUCAUAUCAUGUUCUUUCACUCUCAUCUUGUACUCUUUAUAAAGUCGAGACCAUGUUUCUUCCAUUGAACUUCAAUUCUAAUGGCAUGCACUUCUACCAGCUCAAACUCUUCUGACAGAUGAUUCUUUUUUCCUUGAGAUGGGUAAUUCAAAUUCCAUUUUGCAGAACAAAGGUUUGUGGUAUUGCUGCAGGGUUAAAAUUCAAUAUUGAAAUGCAUUUAAGUACAUAACAUAUAGUAACAGUACAGUUGUAAAACACAUACUAUAAAUCAUGUUGUCAAAGAUGUAUGUUGUUUAACGUACUGGUAACUCUCUACUUGAUAGGUUCAGCUUCUGACACCAAUGUACAUUGUGUUUUCUGAUUGUUCUCGGAACCAUAAAUUGAAUUUUUGAAAACAUUAAAGACUUAAUUAUAAAAAUUUCUUUAAAAACAGACAACAAUGCAAUGCAUUCUUUUCAGAAGUAUACAAUAUUCAGUGCACAGUUCAUUGAAUUGCUUGAAUCUGGUAACACACAUAUAUUGAAGCCCUUUUCAUACUUCAAAUGAUUCACCCUCCCAGUUCAGUUUUAUAAAUCCCUCUUCACCUCUAAAUACCUUACUACAUAUCUGUAGUAUAUUCAGAUUAUUUUGUGUGUACCAGUGUAUUGUGCAUCCAAUUGAUCUUGUAAUUACAUGUACAUGUACUUGUACUUCAUUUGGGGAUCAUGUUUAAUUUGCUACAGUAUUUAACAUCUAUUUCAACUACUUCUGAUAUAUGAGUCUGGCCAAAAAAUAUUCUGGCAGAAAGGGUCAAUGGAAAAGGGAAAAAAAGGCAUGGUAAUUUUAAUGAUACUAAAUUACCUUGAAGAGGAAUGCGAUUUCGAAGAAAUUCCAGCAGUCUGGGAAUGUUUCCUUGAUACCUCAGACAAAUGAAUUUGUAGAAUUUGUCCUUGUUGUGAAAUAAAUAGAUGAACUUCUGUUCUUUUGCAGAUUUAUAAAUAUCAACAAUGUGUCACAUUCAUCUCAGUUGGGAGGGUUUUAUUAUUUUGUUUCAAGGAAAGUGAUGAAUACUCUUGAUAAUGUAAUUAUAUUAUGAUUUGGGAAGUAUUUUGAGAGGUCCACUAUGUGAGAUAGUUUUUAUUCAAAAAAGCUUCAACUGGACAUGGAGUUUUCACAUUUGCAAUCAUUAUUUGUGUAUUAAUUGCAACAAGCAUAAAAAAGAAGAAUGACCUUUCAUUUUGUGAGGAUGCAUUUCCUAAUUUAAGAACUGUUUAUUUCAAUAGAUUAUCAAACAUAUUUUUGUUUCAUAAAAUAUUUAAAAGAUAAAUGUUCUUUACACGGUUGAUUUAUUGAGAUAUGUCUUUCAGUCAAUGAUGGAUUUGAAGUGGAGGGGGGGGACAGGAUGUUUGAUUAGGUUUUAUUUAAAAUUCUUAUAUGCAAGAGUAUUUUCUAAUCAUGUAUUACAAUAAGGAUUAAGAAUGCAAUUUUAUAGUGCUUGCUUCAAAGGAUUUUCACUAGUAGGAAAAUUGUAUUCUGCACUUUUGUUAUAAGUACCCCCUUAUAUAUAUUAUGGGGGGAUGUCAGAUAUAUUGUGAGAAAUAUUCACCCAGAAUGGGAAAACGAAAUCAGAGUAGAUGCACUUGGUUGUUUGGGUGGUGUAACUUGAGGCAGUGCUGGAUUUGAAGUUGCCGUAUUCCAUGGUUGAGGGAAAUAAAGAUGAUAGUUUAAUUCUGGGAAUGCUUUAUAUUUAUAUAGA